UACCGCCCUUCCCGCCCUUCCCGCCGCCUCUUCCUGCCCCGCAGCGCCCGCCCCCGCGGGAAGCGCGGCCCCUCGGGCUUUGGGAGAUCUGUGUCCAAGUCGGCAAGUUUUAGUCAGUCGUUAAGCGGUAGCGGUAGCUGGACCAGCCAACCUGCUUCGUGUCCGGUGCUUUGAUGACCGAAGUGAUCACCGUGCCCGAUGGCUGGGACACCACCUGUGAGCUGCUGGGCGAGAACGUCACCACGGGGGUGGUGGCACUGAAGGAUGGAGAUGAAGCCAUGUUGACUGUUCCAUUGCAAAUUGUCUGCACGCUGCUGGUGAGCACCUGCUGAACUUGUGCUGGGCUCAGCACAAUCGAGGGAGGAGGCGAGACUGGCUUCUGAGACUGCAGCAUGAUGUUUUCUUUAAGAACCGUCAUGGGCUGGGAAGUAGGAAUGGCUUGCAAAAUGAAUUUCUGUGCUGUUGUUACUGAGGCUGGAUCUGUGCUGGCUAUCACUGUAGUAAGAGGCACUGUCUGGAGUGUUACAGUAUGCAGCUGCUGAUUUCCAGGAGAAACAACCACUGGAACCUGGGUUGGAGUCUGCAAAGUCCUGCUAAGAUUAGAGAAGAUUAUUGUGUCAGAACACUUCUAUGCUGAAUUUUGAAAAAGUAAUUAUAGAUUUACUACAGAAAAGACAAAACCAAAAAAACCAUUUGGCAUCAUAAACAUUAAAUUUACCCAACAUUUCCAAAAGAGGUAGUAGAGUCUCUCCUAAAUAAACAAGAACUAGACCUGACCCCUGAAUUCAGCAACAUGAUUCCCAAAGUAAAGGUACACCAAGCUGAACAGCCUGCCUUUGAGACAUUCAGUGGUUCAUCAGGAAACUUAGAAUCACAUCCAAGACCAACAUCAAAAGCACAACCCACUAGAGAUUUGACAUCAGUUUCAAAAAUUACACCAAGUAAUUAAUAAAUCACAAGCCUAAGCCAGGCCUUGAUUGUCCUGACAUCCACGUAUACAUUUAACUGUAUUCAAAAGUAUCCACAUGGUAGCAGUGUCUAGGCACAACCUUGCCACACUUCCAGGACGCAGAGUCCUCUGUCUGCCAGGCUCACACACACCCUCUGGUAGAACAACUGAUCAGAAUCUGCUUCCAAAUCUUCAUUUUAAGUUAGGAGUGAUUCCAUCUUUUACAGGCUAACAGACUUGGAUACUGUGUGACUGUCAAUAGAUGUAGAGCUCUGGGGACAACAUUAGAGGAUUAAGAGCUGUAUUGCUGGAGUACACAGCUACUGCAGUGCACAGUGAUUACUUAAACGUGACACUCCAGUCACACAAACUAAAACCACCAGAAAACAUAAAUGGUUACCAGGGGAGGGAGAGAGGAAGGGUAACUGCUCUGAGACUCUGACACAGUUUGUUCCAUGCCACCAUGCCAUGCUGUCUCUGGCAAUCUUUCUUUUCUUCUGUUUGUCAUGCAGAGUUCUCUCCAAUCUUCUCUUCCAUGUUUAGUCCUGCCUGCCCUCUUCCCCUUUAAGCUCUCCCUUGUGUUUUCUCAAAAAUAAAAAAAAAUUACUAUCUCCA
Passer domesticus (house sparrow) is the source of this 1564-nucleotide long non-coding RNA. RefSeq lists it as uncharacterized. The transcript has 2 exons. The record is from RefSeq and is a predicted model, not a curated record. Lineage: Eukaryota; Metazoa; Chordata; Aves; Passeriformes; Passeridae.